This 954-nucleotide ribosomal RNA is filed under the name Triticum aestivum (bread wheat). Its description in RNAcentral is "partial small subunit ribosomal RNA". The record is from RNAcentral. Lineage: Eukaryota; Viridiplantae; Streptophyta; Magnoliopsida; Poales; Poaceae.
UCCCGCGUCCCACCCUCCGCCGUCUCCCAGAUAAUCUCCCAGCACCAUGGCCCGCGCCGGUUCUCCUUCCACUGCCGCGGCGCCGGCGACCUCUGCGCCCAGGCGGAGAGCUGGCUUCACUCCCGGGCCCUCGCCAGCCUCGAGGAGCUCGACAUCGCUUACGCCAGCCCGCGGCUGCUGGCAUCAGUGCUCCGCUCCGUAUCCACCACCAUCCUGGCUGCCAAGAUCAACGGGUGCGAGAUCGUGCCGGCCAUGAAUUUCCCCAAUCUCAAGAAGCUCACCCUGUUUCACACUUCCAUCUCAGAGGACGUCUUGCACGCGCUGCUCUCCGGCUGCCAUGCCUUGGAGAGCUUAUACAUGGCCCAAGUUUCUGCUGCUGGUCGCCUCCGUGUUAGCUCGCCGACUCUUAGGACCAUUAUCUUCAGUCAUAGCUCUAGUGAAAUGGCACAACUGGUGAUCUUGGAUGCUCCUCGCCUUGUAAGGCUACUCUUGCCGUAUUAUUACGGAAGCGAUCGUGUGACUAUCAGGGUAGCUAGGGCGCCAAUGCUGGAGAUAUUGGGCCCUUUCAUAGCCGCCGUCUCCAAUAUCCUACUCUUUCAGGGAAUAAGCCCGGUCGGCUCGGCAAACUCGAUGCGCACCGUCAAGGUUUUGGCUCUCAGAUCUUCUGCAGAUAAGUUGCAUGCGGUUCUUAACAUCCUCAGGUGGUUCCCCUGUCUCGAGAGGCUCCAUGUCACUUUUGGUAAACACCAUGAUAUGGAUCAGCAAAAUGAGCCUCAGCAUGACCCACUACAUCCAAUCGAAUGCCUUGAGACCCAUCUAAAAAAAGUGGUGUUUAAGCCAUUCGAGGGCUAUGGGAAACAGGUUGACUUUGCCAGGUUCUUUGUGUUGAAUGCAAAGGUGGAAAACAGAGCCUCUCGGCACGCUCGGUUUGUAUUCAAGACUAUUUCAUCCUGA